AGCACCAAGUCUUGGCAUCCUUGUCAAAAAUCAGUUGAUGAUCGACAUAUCGGUUUAUCUCUGGACUCUCAGUUCUUUUACAUUGAUCUGUAUGUCUGUCCUUGUGCCAGUACUGCAUGUUUUUUUGUAGUAAGUUUUUAAGUCAGGAAAUGUGAGAAUAUCCCCUUUUAUAGAUAAGGACACUGGGGCUCAGGAAGGCAACAUGACUGACUGGAGGCAGAGGGGUUGCCCUGAGUCCCGGCAGGAGGAGCUGAGGUGAUGGGAUGAAUGCAGUGGGUUGGCCAGUGGUCCUGUUUCCCAGAGGGCGGGCUUCAGGAGUGAGCAACCAGGCUGUCCAUGUCCCCUAGAGCAGCAGGAAAAGGCCCUCCCCUGGACUACUUCUGUCUGAGGGCAGUGUGGGGCCUGUCAGCCUUCACAGAGGCCUGGCGUCUCAGAGGCCAAGGGCUUCUGGCCCACAGCUCUGUGCUGCAGCGAGGUGGCUGGGUGGUGGCCGGUCAGCCUACAGCGGCCACUUAGAGAAGAGCCCCUCUCGGGGACCUUUAGGGCCCACUCUCACUGUGUCCCCUCUGGCUUCCUCCUCCCCCCUUUGCAGUGGUUGGAUCGCAGCCCUGUCUACACUGAAGCAGCGCCACUUGGCUGUGUCGAUCAUCAUGAUGGUGGUGGCUGGCUUCUUCACCCUGUGCGCCGGGCUCUCACUCUUCCUUCUGAAGCGGGUGCACUCCCUGUACCGCCGGACGGGGGCCAGCUUCCAGCAGGCCCAGGAGGAGUUUUCCCAGGGAAUCUUCAGCAGUAGGACCUUCCGCAGCACUGCCUCAUCUGCUGCCCGAGGAGCCUUCCCGGGGAACUAGUCCUCCUGACUCUCCUUUGUCUGCCCCAGCCUCUUCUCUUGCCUGCCUUCUAGCUGCACUUUCUGUGGGUGCCUUAAACAGUGGUUAUGCCCAGCACAGACCUGGGGAGGGUCUUGCUCGGUCCUUCCUCCUCCCUCAGCCACCAGCUCUCCAUUCUGCCUGAGGGGAGGGGAGGGAGGGACAGGGACUAUUUUUUUUUUUUUACACAAGAGAAAAAAGAAAAAAAAAGCUGUCUUUCCUUCUCUGGUGGUGGUUUGGUAGGUUCGAAGCAGUGGGACUGUAGUUCACUUCCCCUUAUACGUGUACACACACACAUACACACAUGCGCAUCACAUACACAUACACACUUGCAAUCACCAGCUGACCUGGGCCCAUGCCAGCUGGAGUUUUAUUUCUGCCAGGAUCCUGGGACUCCACUCCUCCCCCAGUAGGCCUGGCCUGAAUCUGGCUCCACACACUCAGCCUGUGGCUUCCACAGUCCUGCCUUUCCUUCCUGCCCAGACUGGGUGGUCUCCCAAGGGCUCCCCUUUACAUGAGCUGCAGUCCAGGUGGAUGGAGAGCUCUGUUCCCCAGAUCACUCUGAGGUGGUCUCUGGGCUUCCAGAGCCUCUGGCAUGGUUGCUCCCAGGCUCUUCCCUGCCUUAUGUUUCUCACAGAUUUAUAGCCCUUUAGUACCCCCUGCACCUUCCUGGUGUGGGAGGCACGUGUGCCCUCUGGGGUCCUCUCUGAGCCCUCUCCCCUCUGUAGACUUACUGAAUGUGCAGUGGGGUUGGCUGGGAUUUGGGGAUGGGGAGGGAUGGAGGAUGUUGACCCCAAAUAGUCCUGUCCAGCCUUUGACAGUUGUCUAGGAAGGUGGAGUCUGACUGUCCUGGUGUGGUUUGGCCCUGUUUUGAUUUCCUCCUGAGGGACUGUGGCCCAUUGCCGUGGCCUCAGAUUCUACCCCACUCUGCCUUCUCCCCUCCAGCAAUCUCAUGUGUAUGACUCUUCCGGGGGGGGGCACCGAAGAAUCAGUCCAGAACUGCAUCCCUCAUGCUGGACUGAUGAGCCACUUUUCAGAGGGUUCUCCCAUAUCCCCAGUAGAACCUAGGUCACCUGUCACUGGCCCUGGGGAUUCCUCAGGUGUGUCAGUGUGAUGGGCACUUGGGAUGACACCGAUAAAACCACCCUGUCCUCUAAAGGCUGUAUACAGGGGUGGGUGUGUGGACUGAAGGGACUUCUCAAAAAGCUGGCCAACUGCCUGCCUCUGGGACCUGGGGCCCACCCUGAGGCAGCGUGCAGACUCCCAGCGCACUCAGCCCCAGAGCCACUGAAUGAUCAUGGCAGUGACCAAGGUUUUGUAAACUUUCUGGUAUUUUUUUCUUCCUGUACAAAUGUAUAUGUUAUGUCUCAAUUUUUGUGCUUUAAAUAAAAACAAGACAUUUUCAGACAA
Molecule: non-coding RNA, 2276 nt
Organism: Leptonychotes weddellii (Weddell seal)
Lineage: Eukaryota; Metazoa; Chordata; Mammalia; Carnivora; Phocidae
Source: RefSeq, a predicted model, not a curated record